UUGAUCCUGGCUCAUGAUGAACGCUAGCGGCAGUGCUUAACACAUGCAAGUCGAGGGGUAAGGUCCCGCUUGCGGGAUACACGACCGGCGCACGGGUGCGUAACGCGUAUGCAACCUGCCUCUGACCGGAGGAUAGCCUCGAGAAAUCGGGAUUAAUACUCCAUAACAUCUAACUACCGCAUGGUAGAAUGAUUAAAACUCCGGUGGUCAGAGAUGGGCAUGCGUGGCAUUAGCUAGUUGGUGAGGUAACGGCUCACCAAAGCAACGAUGCCUAGGGGGUCUGAGAGGACGAUCCCCCACACUGGUACUGAGACACGGACCAGACUCCUACGGGAGGCAGCAGUGAGGAAUAUUUGGUCAAUGGGCGCAAGCCUGAACCAGCCAUGCCGCGUGCAGGAUGACGGCUCUAGAAGUUGUAAACUGCUUUUGUAUGGGAAUAAACUGUCCGGUUCUCCGGGCAUUGAAGGUACCAUACGAAUAAGGAUCGGCUAACUCCGUGCCAGCAGCCGCGGUAAUACGGAGGAUCCAAGCGUUAUCCGGAUUUAUUGGGUUUAAAGGGUGUGCAGGCGGAGUAAUAAGUCAGUGGUGAAAUCUUGCGGCUCAACCGUAAAAUUGCCAUUGAUACUGUUAUUCUUGAGUUCAGUUGAGGUGGGCGGAAUGAGUAAUGUAGCGGUGAAAUGCUUAGAUAUUACUCAGAACACCGAUUGCGUAGGCAGCUCGCUAAACUGUGACUGACGCUGAGGCACGAAAGCGUGGGGAGCGAACAGGAUUAGAUACCCUGGUAGUCCACGCCGUAAACUAUGACUACUGGAUGUGUGCGAUACACUGUACCGCGUCUGAGCG
RNAcentral lists this ribosomal RNA (843 nucleotides) under uncultured organism. Its description in RNAcentral is "bacterial SSU rRNA". It matches the Rfam family "Bacterial small subunit ribosomal RNA", at positions 13 to 853 of the family's 1533-position model. The record is from RNAcentral.